CCUACGGGCGGCAGCAGUGGGGGAUAUUGCACAAUGGGGGGAACCCUGAUGCAGCGACGCCGCGUGGGUGAAGGAGUGCUUCGGCAUGUAAAGCCCUAUCGGCAGGGAAGAAGCAAGACGGUACCUGACUAAGAAGCCCCGGCUAACUACGUGCCAGCAGCCGCGGUAAUACGUAGGGGGCGAGCGUUAUCCGGAUUCACUGGGUGUAAAGGGAGCGUAGACGGCCAUGCAAGCCAGGGGUGAAAGCCCGGGGCCCAACCCCGGGACUGCCCUUGGAACUGGUAGGCUAGAGUGCGGGAGGGGCAGGCGGAAUGCCUGGUGUAGCGGUGAAAUGCGUAGAUAUCAGGAGGAACACCGGCGGCGAAGGCGGCCUGCUGGACCGCGACUGACGUUGAGGCUCGAAAGCGUGGGGAGCGAACAGGAUUAGAUACCCUAGUAGUC
Molecule: ribosomal RNA, 441 nt
Filed under: uncultured bacterium
Lineage: Bacteria
Description: partial 16S ribosomal RNA
Rfam family: Bacterial small subunit ribosomal RNA
Source: RNAcentral